CAUCAAGAAGCUAUAAUAGCAUUAACCUUUUAAGUUAAAGAUUGAGAACACAAUAUUCUCCUUGAUGA
RNAcentral lists this transfer RNA (68 nucleotides) under Rupicapra rupicapra caucasica. RNAcentral's name for it is "tRNA-Lys". The record is from RNAcentral. Lineage: Eukaryota; Metazoa; Chordata; Mammalia; Artiodactyla; Bovidae.